UGAAAGAAAGAUCAGGAAAUUUGGAAUCAGUUUGGUAUCCAAAACAAAUACACUAUCAGACAAAAGCCACAAGACUGAAUGAUGGUUAUGGUAAUCAAUACUUAGUUGGAAUAAUCCUUGAAGGAGUACCUUAAAUGUGGAUACUUGUUAAUUUAAGAUUGCUGGUGGGAGCAAGAUGGUUUCUGAGGACAUUUUCUCUUGACACUCAAUACAGCUAUACAUUUGUAGAUACUUACUGACAAAAUGUUUAGUUUUUUGUGGUACUUAAAAAAGUUUGUUAAACAAUCAAGCUUAUUUGCUUAUACAGUUGUAUGGAAGACAUUGAAACAUAAUAUAUACAAAACCAAAGGAGAAAUGAAAUUGCAAACUAUCGUAGGGUAGACUUGAAUUGUAUAAUUGCCGCUGCUGUGCUUUGCCCUUCUGGCCUUAUCGUCUUUCUUUUAAUCUUUUAUGUACUGCUGUUUCCGUAUGGGUCAUAACAUGAACUUUGUAAAUUUAUCAUGGUGAACGAUUUAUUUUUAUGUUUUACUCUUCCUCCAUGCAACUUUGAAAUUAAAUCAUCUAUACUGUGAUACCAAUACUUGAUAAUGGAAUUGUAGUUAUUUGUGGUAAGAGUGGAAAGAAAAGGAAAAGGACUUCCACAACCUGCGGUUCCUCUCACUGGAGCUGCCUUAACAGGAAACACAUAAGAUUGUGGCCUGUUUUUGCUUUACUACCUAGAGUUGUUCCUGGAAGAAGCCCUGCUAUCUUCAACCCAUUCCGCAUAAAUAAGUUCUCCACCUUUGAUAUGGCUACUCAUUCAGCCUGUGAUUUUGGUGGCCUUAAAGCUGAGAAACUAGCUCUUGCAAAAUGUCGACAAAUACCUUGAAACACCGGGGGCCCUCUAGUCAAAUCCCUUAAUAAGCUGACUGAUGGAAUGAAUUGAAGAGGAGCGGCUAUGCGUUUCUAUCAAACUUGUGUUCUUGCUACUUGUAAUUUUGUAAAAGUUGAACAAAAUGCCCCGUACGAGGAUCUUCUCAUUACUAGAGGACCAAAUAUGUGAUAGAGAACUCAGCUAGAAUGAGGACACACUGAUGCUAGUUAAUGAAGACAGUUGACGUACAUUGCUCCUUUGUGGUGGCUGAUGCUAGUUUAUGUCUAA
Molecule: RNA transcript, 1141 nt
Organism: Fragaria vesca subsp. vesca
Lineage: Eukaryota; Viridiplantae; Streptophyta; Magnoliopsida; Rosales; Rosaceae
Exons: 5
Source: RefSeq, a predicted model, not a curated record